GAUGAAGAACGUAGCGAAAUGCGAUAAGUAAUGUGAAUUGCAGAAUUCAGUGAAUCAUCGAAUCUUUGAACGCACAUUGCGCCCGCCAGUAUUCUGGCGGGCAUGCCUGUCCGAGCGUCAUUUCAACCAUCAAGCCCCAGGCUUGUGUUGGGGACCUGCGGCUGCCGCAGGCCCUGAAAACCAGUGGCGGGCUCGCUGUCACACCGGGCGUAGUAGAUUUUAUCUCGCUCAGGGCGUGCUGCGGGUCCCGGCCGUUAAAAGCCUUUUUUUACCCAAGGUUGACCUCGGAUCAGGUAGGAAGACCCGCUGAACUUAAGCAUAUCAAUAAGCGGAGGA
Molecule: unclassified non-coding RNA, 336 nt
Filed under: soil metagenome
Description: partial contains 5.8S ribosomal RNA, internal transcribed spacer 2, and large subunit ribosomal RNA
Rfam family: 5.8S ribosomal RNA (bases 1-120)
Source: RNAcentral